Long non-coding RNA from Papaver somniferum (opium poppy), 440 nucleotides. RefSeq lists it as uncharacterized. The record is from RefSeq and is a predicted model, not a curated record. NCBI's taxonomy places the organism in Eukaryota, Viridiplantae, Streptophyta, Magnoliopsida, Ranunculales, Papaveraceae. The transcript has 4 exons.
GUACGGAACUUGUUUAAAUAAAAUUUGGUAGCCAUACUUGGUUGGUAUUCUUAUAAAUGAUUUUGGUUUGUUUUUGUGUAGUCUAGGUUGGGAAUUAUGAACUUAAAGCCAGGGAUUAUGGAGAACAAGAUGAAGAAUGCUGCAAGGAUAGCUUAGGAGAUGAUUUAUCCUUGGUGACUAGUGUUUGGGGAUGGUACACUCAAUCGAAAUUCAUCCUUCGCGAAAGUAUUUUUGUGCGGCAAUGCAUCAGGUUUAUUAUGUUGUCGUGCAGAAAAAGCGCAUUGGCGUGGAGAUAAGCUCCAAUUCUGCUGCUCUAGGUACUUGGAGAGCUUAAAACUCUGUCAAGACUUUAUGAAAUAUUUGCUGCAUCAUUCGAGAAACAAUAGGUGCUUCGUUGCAACACUCCAACUCUUGGCAUGUUCAAGGCUGCAAGCGAUGGA